CAGCCGCCGCGGUAACACGUAGGGAGCGAGCGUUGUCCGGAAUUACUGGGCGUAAAGGGCGCGUAGGCGGGAAAUUAAGUCAGGUGUGAAAACUCCGAGCUCAACUUGGAGAUUGCACUUGAAACUGGUAUUCUUGAGGUCAGGAGAGGAAAGUGGAAUUCCUAGUGUAGCGGUGAAAUGCGUAGAUAUUAGGAGGAACACCAGUGGCGAAGGCGACUUUCUGGACUGCACCUGACGCUGAGGCGCGAAAGCGUGGGUAGCGAACGGGAUUAGAUACCCCGGUAGUCCACGCUGUAAACGAUGGGUACUAGGUGUAGGAGGUAUCGACCCCUUCUGUGCCGGAGUUAACGCAAUAAGUACCCCGCCUGGGGAGUACGGCCGCAAGGUUAAAACUCAAAGGAAUUGACGGGGACCCGCACAAGCGGUGGAGCAUGUGGUUUAAUUCGACGCAACGCGAAGAACCUUACCAGGGCUUGACAUCCCUCGCAAGCUGUGGAAACACGGUGUUUUAUCUUUCGGGAUAGACGAGGAGACAGGUGGUGCAUGGCC
RNAcentral lists this ribosomal RNA (549 nucleotides) under uncultured archaeon. Its description in RNAcentral is "bacterial SSU rRNA". It matches the Rfam family "Bacterial small subunit ribosomal RNA", at positions 509 to 1050 of the family's 1533-position model. The record is from RNAcentral.